Molecule: small RNA, 138 nt
Filed under: Escherichia coli
Lineage: Bacteria; Pseudomonadati; Pseudomonadota; Gammaproteobacteria; Enterobacterales; Enterobacteriaceae
Description: RtT RNA
Source: RNAcentral
AUAUUGCACAACACCGGGGGGAUGAGAAACCCCGACCGGGGUUCGUCAACUGGCGACAGCCAGUUGGACAGUCCGCGAACGCAGUGAGUGGGCUGCCCGCAGGGCGAGUGAAGCGAGUCAAUCCCCCCCUCACCGCCA